Molecule: long non-coding RNA, 1890 nt
Organism: Trichechus manatus latirostris (Florida manatee)
Lineage: Eukaryota; Metazoa; Chordata; Mammalia; Sirenia; Trichechidae
Exons: 10
Source: RefSeq, a predicted model, not a curated record
GACCGAAGAAGAAUUGAUGCCUUUGAAUUAUGGUGUUGGCGAAGAAUAUUGACUAUACCAUGGACUACCAAAAGCAACAACCUAAUUUCAAUCUGACUCCAUUUUUCUUUUCAAAGAGGAAUUGCAUACUUAUAAUUCUGCAGAUGAGAAGACAUCACACAUGUUGGAUUAGGACCCACCCUACUCAGUAUGACCUUCUGUUAACCUAGCUGAUAACAUCUGCAAAGAUCCUGCUUCCAUGCAAGGGCACAUUCACAGGUACUCAGUGUCUUCUGGAGUGGGAGAGAAAGCCGUGAAGCUACAUCUGUGAGUCCAGAAAUACAGAUCUCUUUCCAUCUUUCUUUAAACAUAGUAAUUCUCAACAAGGCAACAGAUAAGAAUCACCCGAGGAGUUUGGAUAGCAAUUUUUAGUGGUUCAGAAUGGAAGGAAUAUGGAUCUAUGGAAUGUUGGUGCUUGAUUCUUCAAUAAUAAAAGAGAUCUGAGGCAGAAGAAGGCAGGCUUGAGCUCCCAAAAGUGUGUCCUGAUGUCUGUCAAUCAACCCUGGUCCAUCAUGCUGCUACCAUCACGCUACUGGGAGUCCAGCUGGUGGACAGAGAGGUGGUGUAUCAACAGACCCAUUUUAUAAAAUGGAAAAUGGAAGAAACCUAAGUCAACAGAGCAGAGGAUGGAAAGCAAAGUCAUUUACUGCAGUGCACUCAUGUGCUGUUUUCUCUGCUUGGGACACUUUCUCACCCAGUGACCGCGAUGUGACCUAACUCUUGGCUAUUCUUCAGGUCUCAAUCUAAAAAGAAAAUACAUCUCCCAAAGAUUCAAUCAACUUCAACUGCCCCAGACACCCUGAACACAAGGUGGAGCCUAAACAAAACAUUUUCUUUAUGCAGGAAGCUACCAAAAUAGCCUCUGCAAGUCCUGCAAAGGGCAUUUAGUGAAACAGCAAAAUAAACAGGCACAUAAUGAAAGGCUGAUGGUGGCUGGGCUGAUGAAAAAGCCAGAGAGAAAGGAGCAAGUUUAUCUCAGUCAGGAUUCAGCUGCAAAGUCUGUCUUUCAAACGCCUAUGUUUAUGUCCUGCUUCCUUGGGUGUAAAUGCUCACAAGGUUGGUCAUAAUAACGAGCACCUUCAAGAAGGAUUUGGAACUUCUUGUAAUCCAGACUGCUGCAUGUGGGGCCCUCAGGCAUGGAUGGCAUGGAGUUGGCAGAGAUGCUAUUAAGUUGAGGAUAUCCUUCUGCCGCGAUUCAGUUCUUUCCAGAACCCUCAGUCAAGUCAUGAGAGCAGAGACUUUGACUGUCUCUGUGCCUCAAUGAACAAAUAAAACUGGGAAAGAGCCAUGGACUGAGCAGAAGAAAAAGUAACAGAAACCAAGGAAAGGAAACCCUCCACGUCCAUGGUUACGUUGGUUUCAUGUGACUGCAUGGGCCAAGUGGAGACGGAAGAAGGAAUUGCUCUUUUUUUGUUGUUUGUUUUCUGUCCUUUUUUUUUUUGGCGUCUGUAAAUUCUGUCAGGAAGCAAUCUUCUCUUCUUCUAUCUGGUGCCGGCUGCUCCAUCUGUUUGUUUUCUCUCAUGCCGUCCUCAUCUUUUGCCGCAGUGUGUCUCUUCUGGAAUGCCUCCCACCCUGCUCAUGCCAGGCUCUUGCUGAUGCUGUCACUUACAUAAGCCUGACAAAUGGCUUUAAAUCUGGUCUGAAAACUGCCCCCCCAAAGUGGGGUGUGCCCCCAGCUGCCUGCAGGUUAUCCAAGAGUUGGCUGCAAGGGAGUGUUACCUAGUUUGAGAAGACAAAAUAAAAACCACUUGGCUCAGCGUCGGAUUCUAAAGGAAAUAGGUUGGGUGACUCAAAGGUUUGAAUUUUCUGGCCACUGCUUUCAUAAUAAAAGCAUCAUUUUUGCCACCUGAA